Molecule: long non-coding RNA, 553 nt
Filed under: Trifolium pratense (red clover)
Lineage: Eukaryota; Viridiplantae; Streptophyta; Magnoliopsida; Fabales; Fabaceae
Description: long non-coding RNA (TPRA_LNC010802)
Source: RNAcentral
AGUAAGUAAAUUCUGCACUUUUUCGUCUGGACCUGUCUUCAGUAAUCGAGUCAUAGCUGACAACCCUACAUCCGUUUUGAAUAGUCCUUACAUGUCUGGAAAGCCGACGAAAUACCCGUCGUCUCGGUGCCAACCACGUAUAAUUUGGAUCAAUAUUGAGGGUUGGAGACGCCUUUGAAGUUGGAGCUCUGAUGCAGAAUUAUGCAGAAAAUUCUGAUUAUGGGUUUAUAGCAUUUCAGUUGCAAAUUAUGCGUUUCGGCGAGCUCUGAAAGUGUCGCAGGUAUUGUUCAAGCUUCUUUUCAGGUGGGUUCCCUUAGAGCCUUAAACUCUAGUUAGUUUAGCUCCAUUAGUUUCCCCAAAUAAAAUAAAUGCAUGAUAACAAUGGUUCAGUUAGAAUAUUAGUUCCCAAAUUUAUCAAUUGCAUGACAAUACUAGGAUUUAAGGAAUUUAUUGUGUGAGAAUGGUUAAAUCCCCAAAAUAUUCUCCGUUCUGAAUAUAUGAACUAAUUAUAGUGUCUGAAAUUAGGAAGAUAUGGAUUGUAGGUGAUUUAUUG